RNAcentral lists this ribosomal RNA (442 nucleotides) under uncultured bacterium. RNAcentral describes it as "partial 16S ribosomal RNA". It matches the Rfam family "Bacterial small subunit ribosomal RNA", at positions 338 to 795 of the family's 1533-position model. The record is from RNAcentral.
CCUACGGGAGGCAGCAGUAGGGAAUCUUUCACAAUGGGCGAAAGCCUGACCGAGCAACGCCGCGUGCAGGAAGAAGGCCUUCGGGUUGUAAACUGCUUUUAUAAGCGAGAAAUAUGAUGGUAACUUACUAAUAAGGAUCGGCUAACUACGGGCCAGAAGCCGCGGUCUUACGUAGGAUCCGCGCAUUAUCUGGGGUGACUGUGGGUAAAGAGUUGCGUAGGUGGCAUAAUAAGUAGCUAGUGAAAUCUGGUGGCUCAACCAUUCAGACUAUUAGCUAAACUGUUUAGCUCGAGACCGGUAGGGGUAACUGGAAUUUCUAGUGUAGGAGUGAAAUCCGUAGAUAUUAGAAGGAACACCAGUGGCGAAGGCAGGUUGCUGGGACGGUUCUGACACUAAGGCACGAAAGCGUAGGGAGCAAACGGGAUUAGAUACCCUAGUAGUC